UACGGAGGGUGCAAGCGUUAUCCGGAUUCACUGGGUUUAAAGGGUGCGUAGGCGGACAUGUAAGUCAGCGGUGAAAUCCCCGAGCUUAACUUGGGAACUGCCGUUGAUACUAUAUGUCUUGAAUGUCGUGGAGGUUAGCGGAAUAUGUCAUGUAGCGGUGAAAUGCUUAGAUAUGACAUAGAACACCCAUUGCGAAGGCAGCUAACUACGCGAAUAUUGACGCUGAGGCACGAAAGCGUGGGGAUCAAACAGG
Molecule: ribosomal RNA, 253 nt
Filed under: uncultured bacterium
Lineage: Bacteria
Description: partial 16S ribosomal RNA
Rfam family: Bacterial small subunit ribosomal RNA
Source: RNAcentral